RNAcentral lists this ribosomal RNA (253 nucleotides) under uncultured bacterium. RNAcentral's name for it is "partial 16S ribosomal RNA". It matches the Rfam family "Bacterial small subunit ribosomal RNA", at positions 524 to 776 of the family's 1533-position model. The record is from RNAcentral.
UACGAAGGGUGCAGGCGUUAAUCGGAAUUACUGGGCGUAAAGCGCACGUAGGCGGCUUUCUAAGUCGGGGGUGAAAUCCUGGAGCUCAACUCCAGAACUGCCUUCGAUACUGGAGAGCUCGAGUCCGGGAGAGGUGAGUGGAACUGCGAGUGUAGAGGUGAAAUUCGUAGAUAUUCGCAAGAACACCAGUGGCGAAGGCGGCUCACUGGCCCGGUACUGACGCUGAGGUGCGAAAGCGUGGGGAGCAAACAGG